Molecule: ribosomal RNA, 478 nt
Filed under: uncultured bacterium
Lineage: Bacteria
Description: partial 16S ribosomal RNA
Rfam family: Bacterial small subunit ribosomal RNA
Source: RNAcentral
GACGAACGCUGGCGGCGUGCUUAACACAUGCAAGUCGAACGGUAAGGCCCUUCGGGUGUGAAUUAGCGGCGAACGGGUGAGGAACACGUGAAGAAUCUGCCUUCAACUCUGGGAUAACUCCGGGAAACUGGGGCUAAUACCGGAUAUGAGCCUUGAUCGCAUGAUCGGGGCUGGAAAGUUUUUCGGUUGAAGAUGACUUCGCGGCCUAUCAGCUUGUUGGUGAGGUAAUGGCUCACCAAGGCGACGACGGGUAGCCGGCCUGAGAGGGCAACCGGCCACGCUGGGACUGAGACACGGCCCAGACUCCUGCAGGAGGCAGGAGUGGGGAAUAUGGGGCAAUGGAGGAAACUCUGACCCAGCGACGCCGCGUGAGGGAUGAAGGCCUUCGGGUUGUAAACCUCUUUCAGUAGGGAAGAAGCGAAAGUGACGGUACCUACAGAAGAAGCACCGGCUAACUAUGUGCCAGCAGCCGCAGUAA